ACCGUCGCUUGCGCACGUCACCCGAUACCGACACCGCGCGCGAGUGAGUGACAAACAAAUACCCAACCUGUGCCCACUGUGCGUGUUGUGACAUAAAUAACAAGUGUUUAUCAUCGUGUGAUCAUUAAUAUAUCACAGGUCUGGUGGCUGAUUGCGGGACGGAGUUGGUACAACUCACGUGACCAGCGUUUGCGCAAGAUGAGUGUGUGGGAGUGAGCAGCUGCAGCUUGCGGCAUGGGCCAGACGGGCAGCCAGCCGGCCGGCGCCGCACCGCCGCGAAAUCGGCGCGCGCGCACGCUGCCGCACGAGCCGCUCAGACACGCGCCUAAGGUGCUGCCAUCUCUAGUGGAGACGCCGCACCUGCGCAGUACGGACAACGGCGCCAUCCUGCAGUCGGGCGGCACCAUCAGCGGCAGACGACCAGCCUCCAUACUGGAGACCUCCCGGACACCGCACGGACAUGUGCACUCGAACGUGUACCGGUCACGGUCAGCAGGCUCCGGCGGGCAGGGCGAGCUGAGGGCCAGAGAGCGAGACCCUCUCCACCGGUCUCACACGAACCUCGACCUGAGAAGUAACGAAGGCAGCAGUAUGAAUAAAAGAUUUGGAUCUGAACCAGAUCUACGGAUAGAAGAAGAACAACAGAAGCCAAGAUGUAAUAAACAUUUUAGGAAGAAAUAUCGAGCACCCCCACCUCCCACCAAUGACCAUCGUGAGGGUUCAUCGCCAGAUUCCAGUGACGGGAACGCGAGACCAGAACCCCAGAGGAAACUCAGACUGUUCAAAACCAGAAACGAAACCAAAAAGAUGAACGGUCAUAUUGACACCAAAAUACCUGGAUAUAGAGGUUCUUAUCUUGAAUACAAAUCUUUGGAUUUAAAUGAUAACCAUGCCUUUGAGAGACGAUACAGAUCGCCUUGCAAAGACAAAGAACCACACCUCAAAUAUCCGGAUAAUAAAGACAUGGUGCAAACUACAGCUUCUCUGAAAAGGGAGGAACGAUUAUUACAGUCUAGACAAGACUUUAAAAAAUCAAGAACAGACAAGGUCAGCGGAUGUAGGGCAAAGACCGCGAAAACAAACGAACAAAGUGAAGCAUGGAAAACACCACUAUUGAACAGAAACUUCAGGUAUUCUGAGAGGUUCAGAAGGGAUGACAGCGAACAACCAGUAUUGAGGAGAGAAAAGACUUUUGACAAUACUUUGCUUUCAAGUGAAAAAGAAAGCGAGUCUCCCAGAGCCAUACACGAGACAAAGAUGAAGACGAUAGGACAACAACUUAAAGAAAACAGGCUCAGCCCGUUAGCGGCGAGUAGCAAGCCUUUGAGAAAAUCUCUUCCUUCACUAUUAGUCAAAGAUAUUGAAGAAAAAGAUGAAUUUCAAGCGGAGCUCAAAAAGGCAACAAAUAGGAUAAGAAAUGAAAUAGGGAGUAAAAUUAAUGUUAGUGAAAACAAAACUAGUCAGAAUGAUAAAACGAACGCACAGAAACCAAACCCAACGAAGACGACAGCACAGAGCAAAGUCAAAGAGUCUAGUCUUAAACCGAGCAAUAUCAGUAAUAAACAAGACACGAAAACAGCUAUCAGUAGAAUUAGUCGGCCUGUAAAUCGGGUCAGUGAAACCAAACCGAAAGCCACUGCCCAGACGAAUAUAAAGACUAAUGUAGCAGUGAGUAAAUAUAAAUUCGACAGUAAAGAGAGCGGGAAGUCGAUGCCGGACCGAGGACAGGCGUCUGGCAAAGAGUCAACUCCGGAGCAUUCACCAACGAGACGAAAGGACCCAGCUACGAAUCAAAGUUCUCAAGAGAAGCAAAAACCAGCUCCUUCGAAGCAGUUUUACUUCGGUAUGAUCGAGAGCAAGCAAUCGGAGGCACGGGAUCAUCUGAAAGACUUCCCUGGUCUAGGCAGUCCUAUCAUUGAGGAAAUCAGCAACUUCCACCUCAUUGAGAAGAAGCUUCUUGGAUACCACGAUGAGGAUGCCGAGUUUGAGAAGUUUAACGCCAAGUUAAAAGAAGACUGCAAAAUUAAGAAUUUAUCUUCAGAGUCAGCGUUGUCAUCAGACGGCUCUGAGGGCGAGGGUUCAGAAGGCUCCUUAGGUAUUGCGCUGCGCCUGCGACCGACCCUGCCGAAGAAACAACCCGCCGUGCCGCGUUUCUCACCAGCUGCUGCCUGGAGACAACUUGCCAGUUUAGACGCUCAUCUUGCCUCAGAAACUCAACCCUUAGCAGUGGAAACAAAAGUAUCACAAGACAUAUCUCCAGAAUCGUCACCGAGAUCGGAACAGUCAGCUGACAAAUCAGGCGACUCUGGAAUAUCCGGGGACCAUGCUCAUAGCGACCAUAGGAUAGAUUCGCCGGGUCACCAUGUGCCAGAUUCUAAUCCCGCCGUUUGGACUCCUCAGCAAGACCUUGGCGACAGCAGCUCUGACGGCGCAGGAGUCGGCAUCACUCUGCAUCCUCAGGGGAUCGGGGUGGCCACCUACAGUCCCGGAGCUCAGCCCUUCAGCUUGUCAUUGCCAAGAGAAAACCAGGACAAGGGGAAACAGCUGCAACAGGGUUUUAACAGUCUUCAGAAGCUCAGGAAGUCAGUCUCAGGGGCUUUGGGGGCAGCGUUGGGUUCGAGAAGGUUCGACUUAGAACACGAACCGAUGUUGCAAGAACCGGAGCAGAACUGGUUCUUAACGAAGUCUGCUCCGAAUUCGUUGAGCAAUCCACUCCUGUUCCAACAACCAGCGAGGGCGAAAGCGUCUACCGAAGAGGAUAUCAAGGAGGAAGAAUCUUCGCCCGUGCCUGAGAAGGAGGACGCGACCCCAUGGCGUGGUAACAACUCGUACCUGUCUUGGGGAGGACACGUCAUGUAUCUGCCGCCCGCGCCCGCGGCGCCUGACCAGCCUCUCUCCAUGCUGGGUCCUAUUGAUAGGCCCAUAAGGAGCAAAUCAAGCGGGUGCCUGGAGGUGGCUGCGCGCGCGGCCCGUGCUGCGCGUGCGGCGCUGGCAAGCGAGAUGCGCGAGAGGGAGCGGUCGGCCUCGCCCGAAGUGGCGCGCGCGCUACCGGCCAGGGUCGAGCCCGCUGCAACUCGCAACUCAUCAGCACCAAGUCGCGGCAAGCGGUUCACGUUCCAGUCCACAGUGAGACAGCUGGAGAGGCGGCGACUGGCGGAGAAGCUGUCCAAAGAGGCUGACCUCAAGGAGCAGCAGCGACGCACCGAGCUGGAGGCCAUGAGACGAGUGGAGGAAGAGUUCCAGCGCAAGCGCGCGCGGGAGAAGGCCAACAUUCGGCAACAACUCCGGCUGGUCAGCAGCGGCGCUGCCAGCAUGCCCACACCCACACACACCAAGACACGAGACGAACCGGACGGUUCUUGUCGGGAGUCGCCUGCGCCGGAGCGGCCCCGUGACGGCAGACAACGGCACAGCAACGCAUCUUCAGAGAUCAGCGGGCGCAGCAAGAGCACUACCCCUGUGGAGUGGCGCGACAACGAAGUGCGGGUUUACCGCGACUGGGCAAGCGGGGUCACAAGCGGCACGGCAGCGGCGCACGCGCACCCGCCCGCCUGCGCGCGCAUGCCCAUGUCCACACACGUCGUCUAUAAUGCGGCAGCGGAAGUAGAAGCGUUCAGCGGCUCACCCCGCUCAGACAACUACCGGUUAGAGUUCGCGCGCGGCCGCUCCCCCCGCACACCGCGCCCCCCGCGCCUGCUCGCUGCGCGUACGCCGUCCAGCAGCGGAUCUGAGCUGUCGCUCCGACAACCUAUCAAGAUCAGGUGGUGAGCCGUAGUAGCGCUAUAGUUAACAACUAACUGCCUUACGCCAACCAAUCGGAAGUGAGUCUACAAAGGAGGAACCGGAACCAGAAGAGCCCGCCAUAGUGCCGACACUGCGCCCCUCAGGACCUGCGCGUGCGACGCUAGCCAUACGAUAAUUAUCAUCUUUAAUCAACAUAACAGCCUGUACAUGGCUCACUGUUGGACACAAACCUUUCCUGGAGGAGGAAGGGUGUGGAGUAUACUCCACCACGCUACUCCACUGCGGGUUAGUGGAGCUAUUGGGCUGGUAGCCCGGACCAACGGACUAACGUGUCUCAUGCGUGUAAUGCGCGAUUUUUAAACCAACAUGUCUUCAUAGAUCGUGAUCUUUUUCCCAUACGAAUUUAAAUUAUAAUAAUAACUUCUAAGAUUUUAACAAUUGUUUUGGAAAUGUAUUAAAAUUGAAAAUGUAAAACAAGUUAAUCAAAAUUAACGUCAACUAACAAUUGUGUUUAGGUAAUUUAGCUCAUGUAUAACAGCAAAACAGAAUCGAUAUCUAUAUUUAAAUCAGUCAUUUAAAUUAUUGAUUGAAACAGGAGAGCUUACACGUCUCUUCUUGAAGAGCUUACAUGGAACAGAUUAAAGGGAAGGCGAACGUUGUGUACAGUCAUGAGCAAUAUAAUGUACCCAUUUUAUGACUCUGUCGCACUAACGUAUUUCGUGACGUAUUUUCACAUUUAGUGAGACUCACAGUUCAAUUUGUCAAAAAAGUUAAUGUGACAUGGUACCAAAGUGUAUACAUAUUAAUGCUCGUGACCGUACGUAUUACAUAAUAUAAGGAAGUGAAAUAACUGGCCUUUGAUAGACAAGAAUAGAAAAUGCUACAACGAGAGAAUGGCUCUAGUGAUGUGAUGAUUUAAAUGAUUUAACUUCAGCGCUCAAAAAACAUCUCACUUGACAGUAAAAGCUUGUAAAUUGAUCGUUGUACCUACUCACGAAGACCUUAUUAACUUACAAGAAAAGAACGUAAUUACACAUAGAAAUUAAGUCCAAAUUCUGCAAGUCAUCGAUAGUGACUUUGGAAGUAAGUAUUGUUGGUCGAAUUCAGGUACGAAUUCAGAUAAACAUUUUGAAGAACAAUAAAGCAAUCCUUACUAAUGAAAUCCAGCCUAUUUUGCGGAGUGUGUGGGACAGGAUAGGGUCCAAUAUGCUUCAAGGUGUCUAGCCCCCGGCGCACCCAAGAUAUCAUCAUCAUCAGCCCAUUAACGUCCCCACUGCUGAGGCACGGGCCUUCCCUAUGGAUGAAUAGGGAGAUCGGGCCUUAAACCAUCACGCGGGCCCAGUGCGGAUUGAUGGUUAUUAACGACUGCUAAUGCAGCCGGGACCAACGACUUAACGUGCCUUCCAAAGCACGGAGGAGCUCGAGAUGAAAACUUUUUUUUUGUGGCCACCCAUCCUAUGACCGGCCUUUGCGAAAGUUGCUUAACUUCAACAAUCGCAGACCAAGCGCGUUAACCGCUGCGCCAUCGAGCUCCUCAAGCUCCAAGAUAUCAUGUGCCCCCCUAAAUCCAUGCCUGUGCCAGUUUCAGGGCGUGAUUGGAAAAGGGUGCGUCGCGGAAAUAGAUUUCAUUCAGUAUUAGGGUCAGUCCUUAAUGGUACUAGAUCCGGCUAUGAGGGUUAUACAUUUAUUGUAGGAAGGCUGCAGUUUCCGCAAAACUGAGUCGUUGCGACCCUAUUUCGCGAGCAUUGUUUACUUUUCUUCUUUCAUUGUCGAAUGUUUGGAGUAGUAAAGUAGAGCAACUUCAGGCAUAGUGACGUCAGCAGGGCUGCCCCCGAGAAGGGUGAAAAUAUUCAAAUUCGGAAUUCUGAAUUCGAAGUCUGGGCCCUUGAAGAAAGCUCGACUGAAAAUAUAUAAAACCUUUGUGAUAUACGAACUGCUGCAGAUUAAAAAUGCGCCAGGUUUUUUAUAUAUCUAAUCAGGCUUAAAUACUACACUUUUGUCUAUUAAACUACUCGAUAAAUGUAUUAUACUCAUCGCCAGAUUUAUAAGUCAAUUUUAUAUUACCACAAAGCCUAAUUGCUGCAAAGAAAAUAAAAAAUCUUUUAUUUUCAAUGUUUUUCACUUAUUUCGCAUCGGUGACGCCAUGUAGGUAUAAAAAAUAAAUGUCAGCGUAAAUCAGGAACAUUUAUGACCACUUCCGAGACAUUCCAAAAAUAUUUUAGCACUAACAUUCUAACAGCUGCUUCCAGUGGCGGCCCUAGGGCGGUGCGAGGUGUGCCACUGCACAUGGCGCCAAAAUAAGGGGGCGCCAAAGUCAACCAAGACUGGUUCACCCUGGCCGCAAACUAACUUCACCGGGUUAGAAAAUAACAUAUUUAAAACAAUUUGCAAUUCGCCCUGGUUCACCAGAAUGGAUGAAUUGCACAGCUACCUAGAAAUGCCUACUGUCGCUGAAGAAGCACAGCAGCGUAAAGCAGUACACAAAGAACAUUUGGUCCACCAUCCUAAUCCUUUAGCCAACUCCCUCCUAUCCUCUUGGGACAUAAAAAGACUGAAACGUGCGAAUGUACUUACGGACUAAUGGACUACAAUGCAGCGCUGGCUGUAUAGUUCAAAACAGUGAAAAUAACAGAACAAAUUAAUCUGAUAAUAGUCUAGUGACUGAUGGCAGAUAACAAGGACAAAAAAAAGAUUGCGGCCACAUAAAACUCAUAUCGGGUGGCCAUAAAAAACUUUUUUAAAAGAUUUAAAUAGGUGAAUUUAUCGGCCGUAAACUAAUCGAAAAAUUUUGUAUUUUAAGGGGCUGAGGGGUGCCACUGUGAGAUCUCGCACCACCUAAAUAAAGGUUAAAGGUUGCCUGGAAGAAAUUGCUGCAUGAGCAAUAAGGCCGCCUGUUGUGCUUUUCUGUAUAUGCUCUCCUUAUCUCUGUAUUUUGUGUCCAUUGUCCUCAAUAAAGUAUUUUAUCUAUCUAUCUAUCUUAAUAUUUUGCUAGGGCCGCCACUGGCUACUUCUUACAGGUUUACUAACCGUAUCGUAAUGUGACUCCGAAUAGUGCUUUAACUCAUGGUCACUUGUAUAGAUAGGUAUAAACAUAGUAUAGAAUAUAAAUACAUGAGUGCCGAUUCUGGCUGCACAAACUUAAAUUUAAUUUAAGUUGACAGUUCUAUAGCUAGCUCGUUCUUGUACUCAUUGUAAGAAAAGGACGGCACUACUUUUAGAGAUAUCAAACUGAAAUAAAAUUAAGUUUCUGUCAGCCAGAAUCGGUACUUUAUUAUAAUAAUGAUAAUAAUUAUGAAUGUAUGUUUCUAGAAUAUGAUAUUUUUUAUAAUCAUAAUCAAUGCAAUAGAUAUGUCUUCCGUAAGAGUUCUGGAGCUUUAAUAUAGACUUAACUAGACUUACUUUUAGCUUAUUCUCUUUAUCAGUAACGAAGAUUGUGAAAUUAGUUUUUUCAUCAUUUUAUUCGUAUUAAAAUUGUAUAAUUUGGACAUUUCUUCAUUUAUAUACAUAAAUAAAUAACCAUGGAAAAAUAUAUUCGAAAGAUCUGAAUUCAUUUUUCAAAUUUUUAAUCUAGCAUUGGCGGGCCUUGCUUUACAUUCUUAUAUUUGAAAACCACCGAUUACAUCACCGAUUGAGAAAUUGGUCGGUGUACUGCGGAACGGAAGGCUAUUGGGGCAACCACCGUUCUACACGCCCUAUCUAUGGAGUAUUGAAGGCGAUUACUCCACCGACAAGAGCGCAGCUCUUAAAUAAAGAGAGAGAGAUUUGAAAAAAGAAAGUGAAUUAUUGAUUUCCGUAACGAUUAAAAAUAGCUUAGUAAAACUUUAGAUUUCCAUUCCGUGUUAUGAUAUUUUAAAAAUUAUCAUUGAAGAAACUAAUAUUACAAUCUAUUGUAUACGACGUAAGAGCCGGUGCUAACUCAUAUACGUAUUAUAAUUAUGUUACAUACACCUCUGUAGAGGUUCUUUUGAAUACUUAGUAAUAGCAGUGUGUAGGUACUGGUGUUUGUUUAUCCAGAAAAUUAUAAAAAAGAAUAAUACAUAGUUUAUUAAAAUGUAACAUCAAUCUUACAUUAUUUUAAAGCUGUUCAUCAAAAAAGCAAUAUUGCAAUUUGACAUUUGCGCAUAUAAAAUUAAGCGCUCGAUGACAACAAAGGUCAAAUAGCAAUAUUGCUUUUUUAGAUAAAUUGCAGCAGGCUCGCGACCAUGGCGCUAGUGUCGCAGUAGCCGCAUAAAACUAUUAUGAUUUUUGAAUUAGUUCCAUUAAAAUCCUACUAUUUUAGUUGGAAAAUUCAACAUACUACUUCCCUUAGUUAAAAAAAAAAAACAUUCUGAAACAUUCGCUCCUUUCAGAGUACCAACCUAAUCUAAAAAGACAAUUAUUAUUGAAACUAUAGACAUACAACGCCUAAGACGCACGCACAGCCGUCCAAAUGCCCCCAAUCGGUCCAAAAUUUCGUGUCUCAAUUAACCUUUUACGUCUAUCAAUCAUAUCUACCCUUCGUAUUGUAUAUCUUAUCCACUACCAUGAGUCGAUCACCAAUGUCUACCUCACACUACAAAAAUCUCAUGCCGCCUAACGCGCAAGUGUGAACGAGAUAGACAAUCUGUGCUCUCCCUUAGUCCUUAGCAGUUAACGGCUCAUCAUCACCAGCCCAUUAACGUCCCCACUGCUGGGGUACGGGCCUUACCACCACGCGGGCCCAGUGCGGAUUGGUGGUUAUUAACGACUGCUAAUGCAACCGGGACCAACGGCUUAACGUGCCUUCCGAAGCACGGAGGAGCUCGAAUGAAAACUUUUUUUUAUGGUCACCCAUCCUAUGACCGGCCUUUGCGAAAGUUGCGUAACUUCAACAAUCGCAGACCGAGCGCGUUUACCGCUGCGCCACCGAGCUCUUCAAUUUACGGCUAUUUAAGACUGAAGUAAGAGCCAGAAGGACUGAGGUGUAGAGAUACAAAUUUUAUAAGAGAUAUAAGAGAUAAAAAUUAGAGUUACCGUUCGUAGUAUUUAUUAUUCUUUAUUCUAUGACAACGGACUUGAAGUAAUUUAUAAUGUCUGAACAACACAAUGAAAACUGAAGUUUCGAUUGAAAUAUCUGUGAAUCAUGUGUAAAUCGCAACGCAAGUUUUUUUAUGAUAUCCAUGAUGUACUAAAAUAUCAAUGUUUAAACAUAAUUUAGUCUAAGGAAAUAAACAGUAGUGGCUAUUCUAGCGGACACAAUCUUAACUUAAUUUUAGUUUUACAGCUCUUAAACUAGUGCCGUCCUUCACUUGCAAUAAGUGCAAGAGAGAGAUAGAGCUAGUUUUAGUCCUGUCAAAUUAAGAACUUUGUAGCAAACUAUUGUUUUGCAUGAUUUUACCUUACAAAAGACACAUAAAAACCUAUUGUGUUAUUUUCUCGGAUUAAAUUAGUGUCAUACGAUUAUCUUUUGUGAGAUGUUUUAAUGUAUCUACCUUUAUCGCGAUUUGCGGGUAUUUCAAUUGAGUUCAAAUUUUCUAAAGCUCGUUUCAAACUAAUACGUGGAGUAGUUCGUUUAACAAAUAUGGCUCUAUGCCACAGCCUGGACAGUCCAUACAAAAAUCUCGUUCUUACUGUGCCGCCUUACACGCGCGUGUGAGCGAGAUGGACAGUCCACGCGCUCCCUUACUCCUUAACGGGCUACAGAUUAAAUAGACUAAAAAGGUGAUUAAACCUCGCUCAGAGUGUCCGUUCUGUAUGUGUUUAUUCAAUGACUAAAAAUCACACGACACGAGCCACACAUAUCUAUCCGAUGUAUCUUUCGCAUACAAACUCUAGCUAGGCGUAAAAGCUGGGUGUACACAAUUCCUUUAAGGCCGGUUGGAAGGCGACCAGGGUGCGGCUAACUGGGUUACCGGUGGGUUGACCACACGCCGUGUCGCGACGGUGAUCGAUUGUUCUUACACACCUACCCCUUAACUGCCUAGUAUUACUACAUAUAAUGUUAACUUACCUUCCCCUUAACUGCUUUCUCUUGCUAACGUGUACUUUUAUGUAUGUCUUGAGGGAAGUUUUAUCGAAAACUUUGGUACCGAAACUCUAGGUAUAAUUGUUAAUUUUGAAAAUUAAGUUUUCCAAAUAAUUUUAAUGCAGGAUUAAAUAUUAUUGAAUUCGUGUCCACCUUUAAUAUAGGAUAAUGAAAAUAAAAAUUACGUUCGUAUAGUUUUUGUAAUCGAUAUCUCGACAUUACAAAAUAAUAUAUGUCAAUUAAAAAAAACAGAGAACGUUACAAAAAGAAAAAUUAAAUUAAAUAAAAAAAGGUUUUGUUUUGAACAGCGUGAGUGUCUUUACUAUUCGAGUAAGGCUGUUACGUAACCUAUGUUUACCUACCUACUUACUUAAAUGUUUUAUAUAAUGAAUGGAUAAACAAACACACUGACAUAUUAAUAACUUGUCUAUCAAUAAAAUAAUGUUAUAGAAGUUUCUGGUGCAAUAUACAAUAAUAACAAUUUAAACAUUAAGGUAUAUCCCCAUACUGUGCUUAAGACGCUCAAUGUAUUGAAUAUAUGUCUGUAAAUAAGAAAACUUAACAUUAUUAAUUACAAUAAUCUCUAGAUGUAGUUAAAAUCGAUACGUAAAUUUAAUAUAUUGUAUAAUCGGACAGUAAACGAAAUAAUCGAUAUAUUUAAAGUGUAUAAUGUGUAUAGAUUGGUGCAUGUAUAUAAAGUUGUAUAAUAAGCAUUGUUUAUCCCAAAAACAAUAAACACUUGUAUUUCAAA
RNAcentral lists this unclassified non-coding RNA (10478 nucleotides) under Pectinophora gossypiella (pink bollworm). Its description in RNAcentral is "uncharacterized LOC126373544". The record is from RNAcentral. Lineage: Eukaryota; Metazoa; Arthropoda; Insecta; Lepidoptera; Gelechiidae.